GUGCCAGCCGCCGCGGUAAUACCGGCAGCCCGAGUGAUGGCCGACCUUAUUGGGCCUAAAGCGUCCGUAGCUGGCCGCGCAAGUCCAUCGGAAAAUCCACCCGCCCAACGGGUGGGCGUCCGGUGGAAACUGUGUGGCUUGGGACCGGAAGGCGCGACGGGUACGUUCGGGGUAGGAGUGAAAUCCUGUAAUCCCGUCCGGACCACCGAUGGCGAAAGCACUUCGAGAAAACGGAUCCGACAGUGAGGGACGAAAGCUAAGAUCGCGAACCGGAUUAGAAACCCGGGUAGUCC
This 293-nucleotide ribosomal RNA is filed under the name uncultured bacterium. RNAcentral describes it as "partial 16S ribosomal RNA". It matches the Rfam family "Archaeal small subunit ribosomal RNA", at positions 455 to 747 of the family's 1478-position model. The record is from RNAcentral.